This 88-nucleotide small nucleolar RNA is filed under the name Hucho hucho (huchen). Its description in RNAcentral is "Small nucleolar SNORD12/SNORD106 (ENSHHUG00000001563.1)". Lineage: Eukaryota; Metazoa; Chordata; Actinopteri; Salmoniformes; Salmonidae. The record is from RNAcentral.
AAUGUGGUUAAUGAUGCUCAACUUUUUUCCCCAUCUGAUCGACUCUGGUGAAACCAGUCUAAAAAUUUUGUUCCUCGGCUGUAACGUU